Molecule: long non-coding RNA, 1782 nt
Filed under: Salmo salar (Atlantic salmon)
Lineage: Eukaryota; Metazoa; Chordata; Actinopteri; Salmoniformes; Salmonidae
Description: lncRNA (ENSSSAG00000101556.1)
Source: RNAcentral
GACGGCGACACGGGAACCCAAGGGCAGCUGCUGACCUCUAAAUCAACAACAUUGUGCUUUCAGACACAAGAAACACCACAGCUGAAAAUGAUUUAAUUAAUUCAACACCCUCUCUCUCAACUUUAAAAAACAUAUGCAUCCGACACAGUCACUCCAUAGCGGUACCAAUAUCAUUCCUGCUUUCUCUGUGGAGCGCGACAGGGUUUAACCACGCCCACAAUCUGUGAGAAUUGUUGAUGAACUCGUUGACUGCAGUUCUCUAUGACCUGAAGGACUUACUUGCAGAGGAGUUCUUUCUGAUGAAGAAGGGAACUUCUGGCGGAUCCAGCUGUGGCCAGCAGAUGCUGUAUCCUGCCGGAGGGCAAAGCGGCGGGUGAGCGACUGUUCCAUCUGAGACAGGAGAUGAGGAGUGCCCAGGACCUCGCCCUGGAGUUCCGGACCCUAGCCGCUGGAGCUGGGUGGAAUGAAAGGGCCCUGAUUGAUCACUACCGUUGUAGCCUGAGAGAGGACGUCCACCGGGAGCUGGCAUGUCGGGACACUACCAUCACCCUGGACCAGCUCAUCGAUAUGUCCAUCAGACUGGACAACCUGCUGGCUGCCCGUGGGCGUUCCAAUCGGGCCCUUUUCAUUCCACCUCCCAGCCCUCCUGCUCCAACGCCCAUGGAGAUAGGGGGGGCUGCAGCUAGGAAGACCGGAGGGGCAGUCUUCUCCUGCGCCCACUGUAGUCGCAAAGGGCACACUGCCGACCAGUGCUGGAGAGGCUCGCCCGGGAGUUCAGAGGGCAGUCUGAGCACCACUUUGAUGCCUCAGAUGGUGUUGGGUUACCAGCCGGUCCUGGUGCCCUGGCAUCAGAGCCAGACUGAGGCUCCUGCGGUGGAGGAUUGGGUACAGUGCUCUAAGGAGACCUGGAGCGCCGUCCAGGAAUCCCUUAAACGGGCUGUGGGACGGCACAAGGAGAUCGCUGACCGCCGCCGCAGCCGGUGGUAGCUGGUCCACUGCAGGACGCUGAGGUGCGGGAGAUCCCUCCGCCCCCCCCUGGACAUCGGGGGGUCCCCGGCGUACACAGUCCGGUCCAUCUUGGACUCCAGGCGUCGGGUAGGGGGCCUGCAGUACCUCGUGGACUGGGAGGGGUACGGUCCGGAGGAGAGGUGCUGGGUACCAGUGGAGGACAUCUUGGAUCCAUCACUGUUGCGGGAAUUCCACAGCCUCCAUCUGGAUUGCCCUGCGCCUCGCCCUCCGGGUCGUCCUCGAGGCCGGCGUCGGCGCGCUGCGGGAGCUGCGCAUCAGGGGAGGGGGGGUACUGUCACAACGUCCACAGAAGGUGGUGCCUCUCCCCGUUCUGGCGGCGCUCGGCGGUCGUCGUCGCCGGCCUACUAGCUGCCACCGAUCUCCUUUUCUUUUUCAUUUGGUGAUGUCUGUUUUUGUUAGCACCUGUUUUGAGUUAGUUCAUUUGUGAGGGUAUUUAGUCUGUCUGUUUUGGUUUGGGAUUGUGCGGGAUUGUUUCGUGUCAUUUUAUUGGAUGUUGGGGAUUUGAUUUUCCUCUGCCGUUUCGUAUUAGGUAUUAGGGUUUGCUGGGCUGCGUCCCGACUCGAUUUAGGGCUGUUACCUAUCGUUUGAGUUCUGUACCCUGCCUUGUUUUUUCGGCACUUUGGACUGUAUUCAUUAAAACGUGUUUUCCCACGUACCUUAGUCUCCUGCGCCUGACUGCGCCUCCUGCGCCUCCUGCGCCUGCGGGUCAACCCCUCCUGCAUGAUCGAAUCUUAUGACAUAUCCUUCCUUUAA